GUAGGUGGCAAGCGUUGUCCGGGAAUUAUUGGGGCGUAAAGCGCGCGCAGGCGGUUCUUUAAGUCUGAUGUGAAAGCCCACGGGCUCAACCGUGGAGGGUCAUUGGAAACUGGAGGACUUGAGUACAGAAGAGGAAAGCGGAAUUCCACGUGUAGCGGUGAAAUGCGUAGAGAUGUGGAGGAACACCAGUGGCGAAGGCGGCUUUCUGGUCUGUAACUGACGCUGAGGCGCGAAAGCGUGGGGAGCAAACAGGAUUAGAUACCCUGGUAGUCCACGCCGUAAACGAUGAGUGCUAAGUGUUAGGGGGUUUCCGCCCCUUAGUGCUGCAGCUAACGCAUUAAGCACUCCGCCUGGGGAGUACGGCCGCAAAGGCUGA
This 376-nucleotide ribosomal RNA is filed under the name uncultured organism. RNAcentral describes it as "partial 16S ribosomal RNA". It matches the Rfam family "Bacterial small subunit ribosomal RNA", at positions 527 to 897 of the family's 1533-position model. The record is from RNAcentral.